RNAcentral lists this ribosomal RNA (506 nucleotides) under uncultured bacterium. Its description in RNAcentral is "partial 16S ribosomal RNA". It matches the Rfam family "Bacterial small subunit ribosomal RNA", at positions 29 to 523 of the family's 1533-position model. The record is from RNAcentral.
AGUGAACGCUGGCGGUAGGCCUAACACAUGCAAGUCGAACGGCAGCACAGAGGAGCUUGCUCCUUGGGUGGCGAGUGGCGGACGGGUGAGGAAUACAUCGGAAUCUACUCUGUCGUGGGGGAUAACGUAGGGAAACUUACGCUAAUACCGCAUACGACCUACGGGUGAAAGCAGGGGACCUUCGGGCCUUGCGCGAUUGAAUGAGCCGAUGUCGGAUUAGCUAGUUGGCGGGGUAAAGGCCCACCAAGGCGACGAUCCGUAGCUGGUCUGAGGGGAGGAUCAGCCACACUGGAACUGAGACACGGUCCAGACUCCUACGGGAGGCAGCAGUGGGGAAUAUUGGACAAUGGGCGCAAGCCUGAUCCAGCCAUACCGCGUGGGUGAAGAAGGCCUUCGGGUUGUAAAGCCCUUUUGUUGGGAAAGAAAUCCAGCUGGCUAAUACCCGGUUGGGAUGACGGUACCCAAAGAAUAAGCACCGGCUAACUUCGUGCCAGCAGCCGCCGUAA